CUGGCCUUGACAUCCAGAGAACUUUCCAGAGAUCUAUUGGUGCCUUCGGGAACUCUGAGACAGGUGCUGCAUGGCCGUCGUCAGCUCGUGUCGUGAGAUGUUGGGUUAAGUCCCGUAACGAGCGCAACCCCUAUCCCUGGUUGCUAGCAGGUAAUGCUGAGAACUCCAGGGAGACUGCCGGUGACAAACCGGAGGAAGGUGGGGAUGACGUCAGGUCAUCAUGGCCCUUACGGCCAGGGCUACACACGUGCUACAAUGGCGCGUACAGAGGGCUGCCAACUCGCGAGAGUGAGCCAAUCCCUUAAAACGCGUCGUAGUCCGGAUCGGAGUCUGCAACUCGACUCCGUGAAGUCGGAAUCGCUAGUAAUCGCGAAUCAGAAUGUCGCGGUGAAUACGUUCCC
This 401-nucleotide ribosomal RNA is filed under the name uncultured bacterium. RNAcentral describes it as "bacterial SSU rRNA". It matches the Rfam family "Bacterial small subunit ribosomal RNA", at positions 975 to 1375 of the family's 1533-position model. The record is from RNAcentral.